AUGCUCGGUCUCAGAGCCACCAGGGCCGCGCGCCUCCCGUGCCCCUACCCCUCCCCCUGCUCCCCCGCCUCCCUCUCCGGGCUCGCGCGCCGCGCCCCGCUCCUCGCCGUCGCCAGCCCCGCGCCGUCGCCGCCCGCCGCCCUCUCGCUCCUCGCGUCCGCGCGGCCCAUCUCCGCGGCGUGGGGCUCGGCCAUGCGGCCCGCCGGCGAACAACCCCGGCCCAGCACCAGGGUUCUCUGCACCGCUGCCAGUGGUAGUGUUCCGAGAGAGGGGAAGGAGGUGCUGGUCCAGCAUCUGCUUGUCGGCGAAAAGGACGCCAGGCUUCUCGUCGAUCUGGAGAAGAGCAUCGCAUCAGGGGCAGACCUGAGUGACUUAGCCGUGGAGCACUCCUUAUGUCCAUCAAAAGAAGAUGGCGGUAUGCUUGGAUGGGUUCGGAGGGGACAGAUGGUACCAGAGUUUGAAGAAGCAGCAUUUAGUGCACCUUUGAAUAAAGUUGUGCGGUGUAAGACAAAAUUUGGAUGGCAUUUAGUGCAGGUGCUCUCUGAGAGGGACCAAUGCUUGCUGCAAGAUAUUCAACCAGAAGAGCUUCACGCAAAAAUGCAAGAUCCUAGUUUUAUUGAAGAAGCUCAAUUGAUUGAUGUUCGGGAGCCUGAUGAAGUGGAGAGAGCAUCCCUUCCAGGCUUCAAGGUUCUACCUCUCCGCCAAUUUGGAACCUGGGGACCAGUGAUGACAGAUGAAUUCAAUCCUCAAAAGGACACUUAUGUUCUGUGUCACCAUGGCAUGCGCUCGAUGCAGGUAGCCAAGUGGCUGCAGUCACAGGGAUUCCAAAAGAUUUACAACGUUGCGGGCGGAAUCCACGCGUACUCGGUGAAAGCUGAUUCUUCCAUCCCGACUUACUAG
Molecule: ribosomal RNA, 900 nt
Filed under: Triticum aestivum (bread wheat)
Lineage: Eukaryota; Viridiplantae; Streptophyta; Magnoliopsida; Poales; Poaceae
Description: partial small subunit ribosomal RNA
Source: RNAcentral